This 468-nucleotide ribosomal RNA is filed under the name uncultured bacterium. RNAcentral's name for it is "partial 16S ribosomal RNA". It matches the Rfam family "Bacterial small subunit ribosomal RNA", at positions 28 to 507 of the family's 1533-position model. The record is from RNAcentral.
GACGAACGCUGGCGGCGUGCUUAACACAUGCAAGUCGAACGGAAAGGCCCUGCUUUUGUGGGGUGCUCGAGUGGCGAACGGGUGAGUAACACGUGAGUAACCUGCCCUUGACUUUGGGAUAACUUCAGGAAACUGGGGCUAAUAUCGGAUAGGAGCUCCUGCUGCAUGGUGGGGGUUGGAAAGUUUCGGCGGUUGGGGAUGGACUCGCGGCUUAUCCGCUUGUUGGUGGGGUAGUGGCUUACCAAGGCUUUGACGGGUAGCCGGCCUGAGAGGGUGACCGGCCACAUUGGGACUGAGAUACGGCCCAGACUCCUACGUGAGGCAGUAGUGGGGAAUAUUGCACAAUGGGCGGAAGCCUGAUGCAGCAACGCCGCGUGCGGGAUGACGGCCUUCGGGUUGUAAACCGCUUUCGCCUGUGACGAAGCGUGAGUGACGGUAAUGGGUAAAGAAGCACCGGCUAACUACGUG